UACGAAGGGGGCUAGCGUUGUUCGGAAUUACUGGGCGUAAAGCGCGCGCAGGCGGCCAUUCAAGUCAGGGGUGAAAUCCUGGAGCUCAACUCCAGAACUGCCUUUGAUACUGGCGAUCUUGAGUCCGGGAGAGGUGAGUGGAACUGCGAGUGUAGAGGUGAAAUUCGUAGAUAUUCGCAAGAACACCAGUGGCGAAGGCGGCUCACUGGCCCGGUACUGACGCUGAGGUGCGAAAGCGUGGGGAGCAAACAGGG
Molecule: ribosomal RNA, 254 nt
Filed under: uncultured bacterium
Lineage: Bacteria
Description: partial 16S ribosomal RNA
Rfam family: Bacterial small subunit ribosomal RNA
Source: RNAcentral